UUCCGGUUGAUCCUGCCGGACCUGACUGCUAUCGGAUUGAUACUAAGCCAUGCGAGUCUUUGCAGUAAUGCAAGGCAUACGGCUCAGUAACACGUAGUCAACUUACCCUAUGGACGAGGAUAAUCUCGGGAAACUGAGCAUAAUUCUUGAUAGAUCAUAAUGCCUGGAAUGGUAUAUGGUUAAAAUGAUUCGUCGCCAUAGGAUGGGACUGCGGCCUAUCAGCUUGUUGGUGAGGUAAUGGCCCACCAAGGCGAUUACAGGUACGGGCUCUGAGAGGAGAAGCCCGGAGAUGGGUACUGAGACAAGGACCCAGGCCCUAUGGGGCGCAGCAGGCGAGAAAACUUUGCAAUGUGCGAAAGCACGACAAGGUUAGUCCGAGUGAUUUCUGCUAAAGAGAUCUUUUGCUAGUCAUAAAACCACUAGUGAAUAAGGGGUGGGCAAGUUCUGGUGUCAGCCGCCGCGGUAAAACCAGCACCUCAAGUGGUCAGGAUGAUUAUUGGGCCUAAAGCAUCCGUAGCCGGCUCUGUAAGUUUUCGGUUAAAUCUAUGCGCUCAACGUAUGGGCUGCCGAAAAUACUGCAGAGAUAGGGAGUGGGAGAGGUAGACGGUACUCGGUAGGAAGGGGUAAAAUCCUUUGAUCUAUCGAUGACCACCUGUGGCGAAGGCGGUCUACCAGAACACGUUCGACGGUGAGGGAUGAAAGCUGGGGGAGCAAACCGGAUUAGAUACCCGGGUAGUCCCAGCUGUAAACGAUGCAGACUCGAUGAUGCAUUGGCAUAUAGCCAGUGCAGUGUCGCAGGGAAGCCGUUAAGUCUGCCGCCUGGGAAGUACGUACGCAAGUAUGAAACUUAAAGGAAUUGGCGGGGGAGCACCACAAGGGGUGAAGCCUGCGGUUCAAUUGGAUUCAACGCCGGG
RNAcentral lists this ribosomal RNA (914 nucleotides) under uncultured marine archaeon. Its description in RNAcentral is "bacterial SSU rRNA". It matches the Rfam family "Archaeal small subunit ribosomal RNA", at positions 1 to 922 of the family's 1478-position model. The record is from RNAcentral.